This 497-nucleotide ribosomal RNA is filed under the name uncultured bacterium. RNAcentral describes it as "partial 16S ribosomal RNA". It matches the Rfam family "Bacterial small subunit ribosomal RNA", at positions 28 to 507 of the family's 1533-position model. The record is from RNAcentral.
GGCGCACGCUGGCGGCGUGCCUAAUACAUGCAAGUUGAGCGCUGAAGGUUGGUACUUGUACCAACUGGAUGAGCAGCGAACGGGUGAGUAACGCGUGGGGAAUCUGCCUUUGAGCGGGGGACAACAUUUGGAAACGAAUGCUAAUACCGCAUAAAAACUUUAAACACAAGUUUUAAGUUUGAAAGAUGCAAUUGCAUCACUCAAAGAUGAUCCCGCGUUGUAUUAGCUAGUUGGUGAGGUAAAGGCUCACCAAGGCGAUGAUACAUAGCCGACCUGAGAGGGUGAUCGGCCACAUUGGGACUGAGACACGGCCCAAACUCCUACGGGAGGCAGCAGUAGGGAAUCUUCGGCAAUGGACGAAAGUCUGACCGAGCAACGCCGCGGGAGGGAAGAAGGUUUUCGGAUCGUAAAACUCUGUUGGUAGAGAAGAACGUUGGUGAGAGUGGAAAGCUCAUCAAGUGACGGUAACUACCCAGAAAGGGACGGCUAACUACGUG